CCUACGGGAGGCAGCAGUAGGGAAUCUUCCACAAUGGACGAAAGUCUGAUGGAGCAACGCCGCGUGAGCGAUGAAGGCCUUCGGGUCGUAAAGCUCUGUUGUCAGGGAAGAACAAGUAUCGGAGUAACUGCCGGUACCUUGACGGUACCUGACCAGAAAGCCACGGCUAACUACGUGCCAGCAGCCGCGGUAAUACGUAGGUGGCAAGCGUUGUCCGGAAUUAUUGGGCGUAAAGCGCGCGCAGGCGGUCCUUUAAGUCUGAUGUGAAAGCCCACGGCUCAACCGUGGAGGGUCAUUGGAAACUGGGGGACUUGAGUGCAGAAGAGGAAAGCGGAAUUCCACGUGUAGCGGUGAAAUGCGUAGAGAUGUGGAGGAACACCAGUGGCGAAGGCGGCUUUCUGGUCUGUAACUGACGCUGAGGCGCGAAAGCGUGGGGAGCAAACAGGAUUAGAUACCCUGGUAGUCCACGCCGUAAACGAUGAGUGCUAAGUGUUAGAGGGUUUCCGCCCUUUAGUGCUGCAGCUAACGCAUUAAGCACUCCGCCUGGGGAGUACGGCCGCAAGGCUGAAACUCAAAGGAAUUGACGGGGGCCCGCACAAGCGGUGGAAGCAUGGUGGUUUAAUUCGAAGCAACGCGAAGAACCUUAC
This 647-nucleotide ribosomal RNA is filed under the name bacterium HN8-D-11. Its description in RNAcentral is "bacterial SSU rRNA". It matches the Rfam family "Bacterial small subunit ribosomal RNA", at positions 338 to 974 of the family's 1533-position model. The record is from RNAcentral.